CCUGCCCCUCCCCUGCUCGUGCUGUCUCUCUCUGUCUCUGUCUCUCAAAAAUAAACUUAAAAAAAUUUUUUAAAGAUAAAAUUAAAAUGCCUCAGUGACAGAAGCACCAUCAACAGCAGAAGCAAAUAUUUACUGAAUUUGAUCCAAGCGCCCAAACUGAGGAAAUGUGAACACUGGGAAAGAAGGUUCUAGUUCAAACUUCCUAGACUUUUUUUUUUUUUUUUUUUAAGAAAACAGACAUCUCCAAAGAGACUUUUAUGUUCUAAGGGACAAACAAAAUCGUAGUAAAUUAAAUGUGUACGGUUUUUUCAGCUAGCACAUUAACUAUAUAGUUAAUGUGAUGUCUCCAAGCAAGGUGGUUGGCUCUCUUUACAUGCUAGAAUAAUCAAUGAUUUAUGUACCUGACCAUCUUUUCAUAAUCCUUUACACAAGCAUGUGUAUUUAUGACUGUUUUAGAAAACUUUGAGGAUAAUUUUACUAUUGAAAGGGAUUAUAAAUUUUUUGCCAUUGUGACUGUGCUUGUUUAAGCAUAUCUAAAAUUCUUCUGAAGUCAAAUACUUUUGCAGCUAGAACAGUGAGGCAUUGUGGCAAAAUAGGCUGGGGGGCUUGCCAGGUUACAUUUGCUAAAAAUGGGACAUGUGUUUAUUUGGUCCCUCAAGGUUGGAACUCAGAAAUCACCUUAUCCAGUGAUUGUCAACAGGGGCACUGAUGCCAUAUUGAGUGUGAUCAUUUUCCAUUGUUUAGGACUAUCUUGAGCAUUGUCAGGGGAGUCAGUACUCCUGGCCCACCUGCACCAAAUGCCACUUGAAUCAUCUAGAAAUUUGGACAACAAACGCCCACAAUGGGGUGUGCCAUGGGGGACUGCCCUUGGGUGAGAAACACUGAUCAAUCCAAUGACCCAUGAAUGGGCUGCACAGGUCCCCUUCCACCAUCCUCUAAAGAUAACAGGUCAGCCCGGCUCUUCUGCCAUGCACCCACACCUCCAGUGAUGAAGAAAUCACCACCUCCUAAAGCCACAUUUGAACUCUACUCAUUAUUAAAAUGUUAUUUUUUAUGACAUAACUCCCCCCCCCCCUCAUUUCCAUCAUUAGCCUUUGGUCUGUAACACAGACCUCUUUGUUUCUCAUCCUCUUCCACAUGAAUGCCCUUCAGUCUUUGAGAGUAGCCAUUGUGUUCCUCCUGUCCCAUGACAACCUCCCACCCCUCCUGGAAACUUGCUGUGUCAUUGUACAUGGUUUUGCACUUCAUGGCAAAGCACUUUUUGUAUUACCUCAUUUAAUUUUCACACCAUGAUGUAGGGGUGAUCAUUUCCUCUUCAAAGGGAAUGAAAUGGAGUUUCAGACCCAAUGACUGACCCAAGGCUGCACUGUUGGUCAUUGGUCAAGCAGGAACAUGAAUCUAGUUCUUAUGCAAAUUCAGUACCUGUCACACUUCUCCCAGUGUUCACUAAAUUUUGUCCAGUCUCUCCCUUUCCAAUGCCUUCUUUAUUUCCAUCUCCACCUCUGCUUGUCUCCCAUCAUAGAAGGCAUGAUGGCCCCAAUUUUUUACCCUUUUUGUAUUUGCAUCCUUUACCAUAUUGCUUUGCAUUUCUUCCUAGCAACAGGUGGAAUAUAUUUCUCAGCUCUUGAUUUUGGGUUCAAUAGAAUGAAGUGAAAAUGUCAUUAUACCAGUUCUGAAUUUAGGCCUCAAGAAGCCUUGUAUGUUCCCACUUGUUCUUUUGCAUUUCUGCCUUCAUUAGACACAAGGAGCAGAGCCGCCUCAGCUGUCCUAUGUAGAUUAGCUGACCCCCCAGCCAACCCAGAGGCUUGCAAGAAAAAAACAAUUGGUUUUAUUUAACCUAUUGAGUUUGGAAUUAUUUGUUAUGCAGCCGUUGCUAACUGAUACAUUUCUUCAACCUUCAGAAAACAAAGACUUCCCUUUACCCACUGUUUUUCUUUCCCUCAUUACUUGAAAGCCUGUACUAGCUUUCUUAACAUCUUCAUCUUUUGUUUCACAAACCACUGCUACCUUCUGCUCCACUCUCCCUGUGAGAAGGGGCCCCCAACUUCUAAUGGCCAAACACUACGUGGUCCUGACAGCCUUUAGCGCCUUGAAUCAUCCUGCCCUUCUGUAACUGCUUCUUUGGUUUUCAUGACACUUCCUGUGUUUCUCAUCUCUCUUUUCUCCUGUCAGGAGUCUCCUCUCUGCCCUUGUUGCUUCUUGCUUUCCUUCUCUCUCCCCAGGGACCCUAGCCUCUCUCAUGACUUCAAGGACCACAAAAGUAUCGACAGCUGUUUGUAACCCCAUGUCUCUUCAACAUUCCAGCCGUGUGUGCAUGUCUGUUUCACAGCUCCUGCAGGGGGUACUGAUGGCUUCACACAGGAAAUGAUUGCAGGUGGAGUGGAGGAGGAGUGGCAUAGGAAGAGAUCGAUCAGUGGUCAGGACUCCAGACCAGAAGGUACUGCAAGAAUCCAGGCAAGAGGUGAUGUGGCCAGGCUCAGAUGUCAGAGUCACCAGAAACCCUUGAUUGAGCACCUGUGCUUCCUCCUGCAAAGCUGCAGUUUUGUUUUUGGACUCAGGUACAGGACUUCACAUUUAUCCUUCUUAAAUCUAUUCAUGGUUAGCUUUGGCCCAGUACUGCAACCUGUCACACUCCUUGUUAAUUCUAUUAUACCCACUUAAUUAGGCAUCCCUCCUGGACCGAUGUCAAUCAGUCAUUUGGUCAAUGUGUUACUUGUAUCCUACUCAAGGCACAGAUAACACUGAAAAGAAAGGUUCUGGCAGGAAGAAUACAGCAAUACCUGUUAUUUGUUUUAGUUACCAAAUGGCUGCAUGACCCAGAAAUUGACGCAGGUGUGGCUGGUCUUGUGUAAUUUCCAGACUGCACUGUGGCUCCAAGCAGCUUUGUAUCACACAGACCAGUUGGCUGGUGACCGAGGCUCUGAGAGGCUCACCUGCUCCUCCCUCUCCCUGGCAGAUAUGCCCCCCCAGAGCCGCCAAGGAAGAGAACCCAGAGAGGCCGGCGAUUGAGAAAGCUUGCACCAGGGCUGUGUGCACUCGGCCUUUUCUCCAGGGGUAAUCCUAACAUUUGGGCAGAUGCCUGGCUUUAGCCAAGAGCCUCGUCCAAGAACAUCAUGAUCUCAAUCCUUGCUGGCUCACUCUGCCUUUGGCCCCCCAGGAGCCUCCCAGGCGGCAGCAGGGAAGGGCACAGAGUAUUUCCUGACACCCUGGGCCUCUCCUGGUUCCCAGCUUUGAGGAUGAAAGAGGGAGGAGGAACAGAGUUUGGCCUCAGGCCACCAGGGGCUGGUACCCCAGGGCUAGCUCGUGCUGUCUGGGAGAGUUAAACUGCUCAGAGCCUCAGUUUCCUCAAGUAUGAAAUGGGAGUGGCUCUGGCUGACGUGUAUUUAGUGCCAGGCAGGCGGUGCUCUGUCAGUGGCAGCCUCACUUGGACAGUGGGACAGCAACAAGGCUGUGCAGUUAGUCAAGUGCAGGGGAAGAUGCUGUGGGGCCUCUGGGCAGAUUGAGCACCGCCUAGAGGCCAGCCCGCCCUCCACCUGGGGCUUUCCCUGUUGGGAGUGACAGGAACACAAACCAGGGACAUGCAGAGGAAGGAAACUGACCAGAGUGUGUGGCACCUUUUUAUUUAGUCAGUCUUUAUUUAAAUGUGUGUUUUGAAAUAGCUUAUUAAAUAGGAUCUUCUCCAAGUUCAAUUCUCACAAUAUUUACAGUGAAUUUUGUGCAAACAUAUUUUGACUGUGAGCUUCUUGCUCCCCCCUUUCACGUUAAUAAUUUACAAAUUUGUCUCACACAAAACCCCAUCUACUUCAUUCAUGGCCUCUUAGGCUCUAGUUUUCUGUUUGACAGGUACUGAUCUAGGGUAAGGAUUUGUUGGCCAAGAGCUAAUUCAUGCCCAGAGGAAAGAAAACAUUUUAUUUAUCAAAAAAGAAUUACAACAAGGCAUUGCUUUCCAAAUGGAAACAUGUGUCCUAAGAUGUUGCAGAACAGUAUUAGCAGCCAAAUAAAUUUCCAAUGAUUA
Molecule: long non-coding RNA, 4015 nt
Organism: Herpailurus yagouaroundi (jaguarundi)
Lineage: Eukaryota; Metazoa; Chordata; Mammalia; Carnivora; Felidae
Exons: 2
Source: RefSeq, a predicted model, not a curated record